UGGCAGUAAGGAAGCAUACUGAAACCUACUUUUGGAGAAUAAAAUCUGACUAGAGUUUUCCUUCUUUUAAAAAAAAAUGUUGCUGUGACAUUUGUUAGAAAUAUUACUAGUAAAUGGAUCAUGUGUUCCAUCGCUCGGGAGAUGCAAUUAGAUUUUCUGCAGAUGUCUUCAGUAGGGAGGGGACCCUCACUAUGAAACUGGUCAAUGUGCUCCAGAUUGACACACUGUUUUCAGAUAUCGCUGAAACUUUCAACAAGCAGCACGGGGAUCACUGGGCCAUGAAGGAAGCCAUCCAAAGGCUGAAAGAAGUCUCUGGCUGUGCUCCGACUAAUAGUCUUGCAGCCUGC
RNAcentral lists this long non-coding RNA (347 nucleotides) under Chrysemys picta bellii (western painted turtle). RNAcentral's name for it is "lncRNA (ENSCPBG00000010230.1)". The record is from RNAcentral. Lineage: Eukaryota; Metazoa; Chordata; Testudines; Emydidae.